AUGGUGGAUACACAUUGGAAGGUGAUGGCUAUGACCUUUCGGUCGCAAGGUGAUGCAUACAUAUUCUAUAACAAUCAUGCCAAAGAGAACAGGUUUAGCAGCAGAAAAAAGAAGGUCAAACGAGGUGCUUCAGGAAUGAUACGGUACCGGAGAUUUCUUUGCUCCAGGGCAGGUAGAAGGCAGAGCAAGUUUAUAACCAUGGAGGGCCGCAAGCGCAGGCUUAGACCGGAGACUCGUUGCGAUUGUGGUGCACAUAUGGUGGUGAAGCUGGACAGAGAAUGUGGUGUUUGGUUCGUUGCGUCAUUCGUGGAUGAUCACAAUCACGCGAUGGCUAGGCCCGACGAGGUUUGUUUUUUGUGGUCACACAGACGGAUUGGAGAAGGCACGAGGGCAGAGAUAUUGGCGUUGGAAGCUGCCGAGAUAAGAAAGCAUAUAAUAAUGGACAACUUUAUUAGCAGAUACGGUUCGUACGAUAAGUGCGCGCUUAUCAGGAGGGAUAUUUACAAUCUUUGUUGCAGAGAAAAAAUGAAGCUCAUUGCAAAAGGUGACGGAGAGACGGCAGUUGGUAUUAUGAGGAGCAGGAAGGAGAAGGACCCUGAGUUUUUUUGA
RNAcentral lists this ribosomal RNA (609 nucleotides) under Triticum aestivum (bread wheat). RNAcentral describes it as "partial small subunit ribosomal RNA". Lineage: Eukaryota; Viridiplantae; Streptophyta; Magnoliopsida; Poales; Poaceae. The record is from RNAcentral.